This 558-nucleotide ribosomal RNA is filed under the name Termitomyces sp. E1P. Its description in RNAcentral is "partial 12S ribosomal RNA". It matches the Rfam family "Bacterial small subunit ribosomal RNA", at positions 417 to 945 of the family's 1533-position model. Lineage: Eukaryota; Fungi; Basidiomycota; Agaricomycetes; Agaricales; Lyophyllaceae. The record is from RNAcentral.
UAUGUUGGUUAUUGUGAUAACGUAAGGGAAAAAAAUGAUAUUACCUUACUAUUAGUGUUGUCCAAAACUGGUGCCAGAAGACUCGGUAAGGCCAGAGACGCAAACGUUAGUCGUCCUAAUCAGGCGUAAAGGGUGUGUAGGCUGCUUUCAAAGUCAUAUCUUUCAAAUAGCUCUUAUAACGAAGAUCUGUUUAAAGGCAUAAUACUUUAAAUAUCUUCAUUCUAAGGUAAAGAUAGGAUGAAUAAAAGCUAGAAUCAAAACGAGGAUAAGCCAAAUAAUACUUAGAGUAGGGUCGAUAUCCGUAGAUACUAAGUGGAAUAUUAAAAGUGAAAACUAUUUAUCUAGAAAUGAUUGACGCUGAGAAACGAAGGUGAGAAUAGGAAAUAGGAUUAGAUACCCAGAUACCUCUCACUGUCAACGAUGAAUGGUGGUUUGUUAGUUCGCAGAGGAACUAGUAACGAUGCUAACGCGAUAACCAUUCCGCCUUGCGAGUACGGUUGCAAAACUGAAACCAAAAAAAUUAGUCGGUCUCGAAGCAAACGAAGUGAAGCAUGUUAU